This is a long non-coding RNA of Homo sapiens (human), 440 nucleotides long. RefSeq lists it as uncharacterized. The transcript has 2 exons. The record is from RefSeq and is a predicted model, not a curated record. Lineage: Eukaryota; Metazoa; Chordata; Mammalia; Primates; Hominidae.
GCUCUACACAGCAGUCUCCCGAAGGCAAAAUGGCUUGUGGGUGGACACAGCCCUGCAGUGGACUUUUACAGGUCAUCUCAAGGCGUCGGUCAGCGCGGCAGAGUCGGGAACCUGCCAUCCUAGAGCAAUACGCCCCGAGUGACAGCCCUGACAACCGGAGUGAUGGAUCGGGACUGGAAAAGUGGUGCUGGGAGCCAGGCAGUGACACCAGCGCGCCUCCACUGGCCGCCGAGCGCACGGAGAAGUGGGCUCCCCAGAGUUCGGCACCCAAAGGACCAACUUCGCCUCCGGAAAAGCGGCGGAUCCGGAACUUGGAUGUCAGGACUAUGACUACGUAAAAUCUCUGCCCAGGGCGAAGCUAGCAAUGCACACUGUAUCAGAAAGGCGCAGGGAGUCGGGAAGGGUAUUGUUAUUUUUAAUUAAAAGUUUUUAUCCCGAAA